RNAcentral lists this ribosomal RNA (162 nucleotides) under Buckleya lanceolata. RNAcentral's name for it is "5.8S ribosomal RNA". The stretch from base 28 to 162 matches the Rfam family "5.8S ribosomal RNA", at positions 1 to 133 of the family's 154-position model. From Rfam's summary of the family: 5.8S ribosomal RNA (5.8S rRNA) is a component of the large subunit of the eukaryotic ribosome. Lineage: Eukaryota; Viridiplantae; Streptophyta; Magnoliopsida; Santalales; Thesiaceae. The record is from RNAcentral.
GCGUGACAUCUGUUACACGAACAUGAUGACUCUCGACAACGGAUAUCUCGGCUCUCGCAUCGAUGAAGAACGCAGCGAAAUGCGAUACUUGGUGUGAAUUGCAGAAUCCCGCGAAUCAUCGAGUCUUUGAACGCAAGUUGCGCCCGAGGCCAUUAGGCUAAG